GAUGAACGCUGGCGGCGUGCCUAAUACAUGCAAGUCGAGCGAACAGAUGAGGAGCUUGCUCCUCUGACGUUAGCGGCGGACGGGUGAGUAACACGUGGAUAACCUACCUAUAAGACUGGGAUAACUUCGGGAAACCGGAGCUAAUACCGGAUAAUAUAUUGAACCGCAUGGUUCAAUAGUGAAAGACGGUUUUGCUGUCACUUAUAGAUGGAUCCGCGCCGCAUUAGCUAGUUGGUAAGGUAACGGCUUACCAAGGCAACGAUGCGUAGCCGACGUGAGAGAGGGGUCGGCCGCCUGAGAGCUUGAACGGCGUCCAGGCGACUACGGGACGGCGCAGUAGGGAAUGUGACGCAGUAGUGGGAAACCUUGCGCAGCGACCGCGCGUCUGAUGUAGAAGCGCUGCGUGCGGUAUACCGUCUUUUUGGGUGAAAACCAAUUUGGCAGGUAACGAAGCCGGCUUGACGGUAACGGGUAAAGAAGCCCCGGCUAACUACGUG
RNAcentral lists this ribosomal RNA (497 nucleotides) under uncultured bacterium. Its description in RNAcentral is "partial 16S ribosomal RNA". It matches the Rfam family "Bacterial small subunit ribosomal RNA", at positions 28 to 507 of the family's 1533-position model. The record is from RNAcentral.